UGUCUUUUCCGGCUUGGGGAGCAAUCCUCUUCGGGAAGGGCACUCUCUCCACAUUGUGGACCAUCCCUAUUUGUUUUGGCGAUUUUUUUCGCGAAAGCAGAAAGGGCCACUCCGUCACUGAGAGCAAAUUGGAGUGCUCAAAGCAGGCUUUACAGCUUUGAACAUAUUAGCUUGGAAUGACAAGAUACGACUCUGGUCGGUUUAUUUUGUUGGUUAUUUAGACUAGAGUAAUGAUUAACAGGAACAGUAGCGGGGGUACUCGUAUUGAAAGGUCAGAGGUGAAAUUCUUGGAUUCUUUCAAGACGAACGACUGCGAAAGCAUUUACCAAGGAUGUUUUCAUUAAUCAAGAACGAAAGCUUGGGGAUCGAAGAUGAUUAGAUACCAUCGUAGUCCAACGCCAUAAACGAUGCCGACUCGGGAUUGGUAGGUGUUCUUUUUAAAACAUGAACCCUAUCAGCACCGUAUGAGAAAUCAAAGUCUUUGGGUUCCGGGGGGAGUAUAGUCGCAAGGAAGAAACUUAAAGGAAUUGACGGAAGGGCACACCAGAGGUGGAGCCUGCGGUUUAAUUUGACCCAACACGGGGAAACUUACCAGGUCCAGACAUGAUGAGGAUUGACAGUUUGAAAGCACUUUCUUGAUUUCAUGGGUGGUGGUGCAUGGCCGUUCUUAGUUGGUGGAGUGAUUUGUCUGGUUGAUUCCGAUAACGAACGAGACGGGGGGAGUUUACUAGUUUUGCAUAAUCUAAUUCGCGUUAGAUGGAACAUCUUUACUCGACAACUCGGUUUUACCGAGAGGAAGCACCCCGCAAUAACAGGUCUGUGAUGCCCUUAGAUGUUCUGGGCUACACGCGCGCUACAAUGACGAGUUCAACGAGUUUGUUUUAUUCCUUGUCCGGAAGGAUGUGGGUAAUCUUUUCAAUGCUCGUCGUGAUGGGGCUAGAUUUUUGCAAUUAUUAAUCUUCAACGAGGAAUCUCUACUAUGUGCAGUUCAUCAGACUGCGCAGAAUGCGUCCCUGCCCUUUGUACACACCGCCCGUCGCACCUACCGAUUGGACGAUCCGGCAAGAUGUUUGGAGUGUUGUGUUUGUGAUGUAAAAGUCGUGAACAUGACGCAAAGCUCUUCAAACCUUAUCGUCUAGAGGAAGGUGAAGUCGUAACAAGGUCUCCGUAGGUGAACCUGCGGAGGG
This 1187-nucleotide ribosomal RNA is filed under the name metagenome. Its description in RNAcentral is "bacterial SSU rRNA". It matches the Rfam family "Eukaryotic small subunit ribosomal RNA", at positions 636 to 1824 of the family's 1831-position model. The record is from RNAcentral.